Molecule: ribosomal RNA, 253 nt
Filed under: uncultured bacterium
Lineage: Bacteria
Description: partial 16S ribosomal RNA
Rfam family: Bacterial small subunit ribosomal RNA
Source: RNAcentral
UACGAGGGGGGCGAGCGUUGUUCGGAAUUAUUGGGCGUAAAGGGUGCGUAGGCGGUUUUGUAAGUCUUAUGUGAAAUCUAUGGGCUCAACUCAUAGACUGCAUGAGAAACUGCAGGGCUUGAGUAUGGGAGAGGUGAGUGGAAUUCCUGGUGUAGCGGUGAAAUGCGUAGAGAUGUGGAGGAACACCGAUGGCGAAGGCAGCCUCCUGGGCCAAUACUGACGCUCAUGCACGAAAGCGUGGGGAGCAAACAGG